ACUUGAAUGAUUUAAUUAAUUGGGAUUUUAAUGUUAUAAUGAUUAAAUUAGUAUUUUAUUUAAUUAAAUUAUAGGAACUCGGCAAAUUUAGUGUUCGCCUGUUUAACAAAAACAUGUCCUUUUGUUUAUUUAUUUAAGGUCUGACCUGCCCAAUGAGGAAUUCAAUGGCCGCAGUAUUUUAACUGUGCUAAGGUAGCAUAAUCAUUUGUCUUUUAAUUGAGGGCUGGAAUGAAAGGUUGGACGAGAUAUUAACUUUCUUUAGUUUAAUUUUAAGAAUUUAAUUUUUAAGUUAAAAAGCUUAAAUUUAUUUGUUGGACGAGAAGACCCUAUAGAUCUUUAUAAUUUUAUAUUUUGAUAAUUUGGUGAUUUUAUUUAUUGUAAGUAGAAGAAUUAUUUUGUUGGGGUGACUGUAGAAUUUUAUUAACUUCUAUUAUUUUUAUUUCAUUGAUUGGUGUUUUUUUGAUCCAUAUAUUUAUGAUUAAAAGAUUAAGUUACCUUA
This 499-nucleotide ribosomal RNA is filed under the name Triatoma dimidiata (kissing bug). RNAcentral describes it as "partial 16S ribosomal RNA". The stretch from base 61 to 268 matches the Rfam family "Archaeal large subunit ribosomal RNA", at positions 1793 to 2108 of the family's 2987-position model. Lineage: Eukaryota; Metazoa; Arthropoda; Insecta; Hemiptera; Reduviidae. The record is from RNAcentral.